RNAcentral lists this ribosomal RNA (497 nucleotides) under uncultured bacterium. Its description in RNAcentral is "partial 16S ribosomal RNA". It matches the Rfam family "Bacterial small subunit ribosomal RNA", at positions 28 to 507 of the family's 1533-position model. The record is from RNAcentral.
GAUGAACGCUGGCGGCGUGCCUAAUACAUGCAAGUCGAGCGAACAGACGAGGAGCUUGCUCCUCUGACGUUAGCGGCGGACGGGAGUGUAACACGUGUAUAACCUACCUAUAAGACUGGGAUAACUUCGGGAAACCGGAUCUAAUACCGGAUAAUAUAUUGAACCGCAUGGGUCAAUAGUGAAAUACGGUUUUGCGGUCUCUUAUCGAUGGAUCCGCGCCGCAUUAGCUAGUUGGUAAGGUAACGGCUUACCAAGGCAAGCAUGCGUAUCCGACCUGAGAGAGGGAUAGGCCACACUGGAAGGGAGACACGGUCCAGAGUCCUACGGGAGGCAGCAGUCGGGAAUCGUCCGCAAUGGGCGAGAGCAUGACGGAGCAAGGGCGCGUGAGUGAUGAAGGUCUUCGGAUCGUAAAACUCUGUUAUUAGGGAAGAACAAAUGUGUAAGUAAAUGUGCACGUCUUGACGGUAACUAAUCAGAAAGCCACGGCUAACUACGUG